RNAcentral lists this non-coding RNA (28 nucleotides) under Bombyx mori (domestic silkworm). Lineage: Eukaryota; Metazoa; Arthropoda; Insecta; Lepidoptera; Bombycidae. The record is from RNAcentral.
UUCAGCUCUGAUGAAGUCCGAAACGUUC